GACGAACGCUGGCGGCGUGCUUAACACAUGCAAGUCGAACGGAAAGGCCCAGCUUGCUGGGUGCUCGAGUGGCGAACGGGUGAGUAACACGUGGGUGAUCUGCCCCUAACUUCGGGAUAAGCUUGGGAAACUGGGUCUAAUACCGGAUAGGACAAUCGUUUAGUGUCGGUUGUGGAAAGUUUUUUCGGUUAGGGAUGAGCCCGCGGCCUAUCAGCUUGUUGGUGGGGUAAUGGCCUACCAAGGCGUCGACGGGUAGCCGGCCUGAGAGGGUAGACGGCCACAUUGGGACUGAGAUACGGCCCAGACUCCUACGGGAGGCAGCAGUGGGGAAUAUUGCACAAUGGGCGCAAGCCUGAUGCAGCGACGCCGCGUGGGGGAUGACGGCCUUCGGGUUGUAAACCUCUUUCGACAGGGACGAAGCUUUGGUGACGGUACCUGUAUAAGAAGCACCGGCUAACUACGUG
Molecule: ribosomal RNA, 464 nt
Filed under: uncultured bacterium
Lineage: Bacteria
Description: partial 16S ribosomal RNA
Rfam family: Bacterial small subunit ribosomal RNA
Source: RNAcentral